GCUUAAUGUGCUACAAUGAUGACAUUUAUUUGCUACUCUUGACUGCAGGAAUGACGAUAGACUAAACCACCAUUAUUUUAACUGAGGCACACAAAAUAGUUAUUUGGGGACUGUAGAGAUUGCACCUUGGUAACAUGAAAUUGUUUUUUCCCAGGUAAAAAAGAGCCUCUCCAGCAAUGGACGCAAGGUUAGAAACAUUUAUAUACUCAUGCAUUAUUUAAAAUUGAAAGUAGACAAAACAAUCUUAUUAGCAUUUCCCCCUUUGUAGAUGUGAUCUGCUCUAAUUCCUAAAUCAAACUUCUGGGGGCAGGCGGAAGAGGCAGAUACUGUGAUGGUUGCAUAGUUCAGCAGAUUUAAGGCAUGAAGAAAUUUACCUUUUCUGAUGUAUCUGGGAUUGUUGUUCAUGGCUGUUAAUCAGCAUAAGCAAUAUGGCAAUUAGCAACUUUAAGAUCUAAAAUUUUUUUAUAUAUUUUUUUUUUAGGCACUAGAUAGAAAACCAGAAGUAGAAAUGGUGAGUAAAGCAUUCCACUAAACAUAGGUAGCUGGGCAAAAAAGAUGGCGUUUUUGGAUUGCAUUUUUUUGUAGUAAGCACUCAAGCAUGAGGGCUAAAUUCAUUAAAUGCCAGUAUCUUGCCUGUUACCAUUUCUGUGAGGUCAGUGUGGCCUGGAUGAUGAUAAGAAGAUAACUGACUGAACGUGAAGUUUUUAAUUAGCUCUAACUGAUUUCGGGCAUUGUUGGUUUGGGCUGGGAGAAAUUUCAUAUUUGGCUAUUCUAAAGUCACCCUUAUUCAUUAGGUGGAGGAUGAUUUCUUUGGAUCUGCUUUAUUUUUCUAGUAAGUAUUGGAAAGCAUUACCUGAGAAUGCCAAUAAACUGCAUGCCUGUUGCAUAAUUUAAAAGUGAAUGAAAACUUGGCAUAUUUGAGCAUGCUCCAAAUGGGGUUUGUGUAAUGAUGUUGUUCAAA
This 961-nucleotide long non-coding RNA is filed under the name Marmota monax (woodchuck). The stretch from base 663 to 724 matches the Rfam family "Small nucleolar RNA SNORD44". The record is from RNAcentral. Lineage: Eukaryota; Metazoa; Chordata; Mammalia; Rodentia; Sciuridae.